AGCUGUACAUUGUCGUUGGUGUCUCCGGCUCUGGCUCCGGUUCCGGCCCGCAAUCGAGGUUCACGCCGAACAGCCGGAGCCGCCGAGGCGGUGCUGAUGCUGCACUGCAACUCCUGUUGUCUCUGUCCCAUUGAGAUUCUCCUGCAAUUGUUCAGCAGAAAUGGUGUAAGAGGACCAGAGAAACGGGAAUGUGAUUAUUAUCUCACGUGGCAUUAGUCUUAUCUGUCCCGCUUUCUGUUCCUGGGGCUUCAAGUUCCCAAGCGCCAAAAUGUUCGAACAUUGGAACUGGAAAUAGGAUCAAGAUUGGACCUGCACAAAGAUCUGCCUUCUCCAAUUUCUAAAAGCAUUUUGAAUCAGACGGCUUGCAGCUCGGCACCUGUGCUCUACGCGAUCGUCGCCGAGGCUGACUAAAACUUUCUGCGCCACGCACGUCCAGGACUGCCGCAUCUCUGCGCCUGCGAUCUCUCUCACUGGACUACUGGACUUCGGCGCAAGCCGAUCUUCUGAAUUCUGAGGCCGACCCGGGCCUUUUCUUUCUUUCUUUCUUUCUUCCUCGCGCACUGAGGAGCGAGAUGUUGGGUGCUCAGCUGGUGACGUGACGGGGACGAGAAGGAAGGCGAUGAUGGGGAGAGGAACUGGUAUGCUGGGCGUCGUGGCAGCUUCGGUGGCGCAGGAGCAGGGGGGCAAAGCGGACGCAACGAAGCGCUUGUGGCGAGGCGUGACCGUGUGAUUAGUGCCCGGAUCUCUGCGUGCGUGUGCAUGACACUGUGAUGGUGUGUGUGGUGGGCUGAUGGCUUGGUUGCUGCCCUUUGAGAAGUGCGUACUCCGAGUCCCGGAGCCAAUUGGUUUGAGGUCCACACUGACCGAGCCGGCAUCACGCCACGCGUUGGGAGUCCUCUCUUGCUGCGUCGAACAGUGAACACAGUGCUGCUGCAA
Long non-coding RNA from Panicum hallii, 936 nucleotides. RefSeq lists it as uncharacterized. The record is from RefSeq and is a predicted model, not a curated record. NCBI's taxonomy places the organism in Eukaryota, Viridiplantae, Streptophyta, Magnoliopsida, Poales, Poaceae. The transcript is spliced from 3 exons.